RNAcentral lists this ribosomal RNA (477 nucleotides) under uncultured bacterium. RNAcentral describes it as "bacterial SSU rRNA". It matches the Rfam family "Bacterial small subunit ribosomal RNA", at positions 37 to 523 of the family's 1533-position model. The record is from RNAcentral.
UGGCGGUGCGCCUUAUGCAUGCAAGUCGAGCGAAGCUUUUCAGUAGUUUACUACAGAAAAUGACUGAGCGGCGAACGGGUGAGUAACGCGUGAGCAAUCUACCUUAGUUACAGGGAUAGCCCGAGGAAACUCGGAUUAAUACCUGAUAUUCUUUAUAUUUCGCAUGAAAUUAAAAGGAAAGGUCAGCCGAACUAAGAUGAGCUCGCGUUCUAUCAGCUAGUUGGUGAGGUAAAAGCUCACCAAGGCUACGACGGAUAGCUGGUCUGAGAGGACGAUCAGCCACACUGGGACUGAGACACGGCCCAGACUCCUACGGGAGGCUGCAGCAGGGAAUAUUGCGCAAUGAGCGAAAGCUUGACGCAGCGACACCGCGUGUGGGAUGACGGAUCUAGGUUUGUAAACCACUUUCAGGAGGGAAGAAAAUGACGGUACCUCCACAAGAAGCCCCGGCCAACUACGUGCCAGCAGCCGCGGUAA